GAUGAACGCUGGCGGCGUGCCUAAUACAUGCAAGUCGAGCGAACAGACGAGGAGCUUGCUCCUCUGACGUUAGCGGCGGACGGGUGAGUAACACGUGGAUAACCUACCUAUAAGACUGGGAUAACUUCGGGAAACCGGAGCUAAUACCGGAUAAUAUAUUGAACCGCAUGGUUCAAUAGUGAAAGACGGAUUUGCUGUCACUUAUAGAUGGAUCCGCGCCGCAUUAGCUAGUUGGUAAGGUAACGGCUUACCAAGGCAACGAUGCGUAGCCGACCUGAGAGGGUGAUCGGCCACACUGGAACUGAGACACGGUCCAGACUCCUACGGGAGGCAGCAGUAGGGAAUCUUCCGCAAUGGGCGAAAGCUUGACGGAGCAGCGCCGCGUGAGUGAUGAAGGUCUUCGGAUCGUAAAACUCUGUUAUUAGGGAAGAACAAAUGUGUAAGUAACUAUGCACGUCUUGACGGUACCUAAUCAGAAAGCCACGGCUAACUACGUG
Molecule: ribosomal RNA, 497 nt
Filed under: uncultured bacterium
Lineage: Bacteria
Description: partial 16S ribosomal RNA
Rfam family: Bacterial small subunit ribosomal RNA
Source: RNAcentral